Molecule: ribosomal RNA, 200 nt
Filed under: uncultured bacterium
Lineage: Bacteria
Description: partial 16S ribosomal RNA
Rfam family: Bacterial small subunit ribosomal RNA
Source: RNAcentral
AGUGAACGCUGGCGGUAGGCCUAACACAUGCAAGUCGAACGGCAGCACAAGGGAGCUUGCUCCCUGGGUGGCGAGUGGCGGACGGGUGAGGAAUACAUCGGAAUCUACCUUGUCGUGGGGGAUAACCUCGGGAAACCGGGACUAAUACCGCAUACGACCUUCGGGUGAAGUAGGGAGUCGCAAGACCUUACGCGAUUGGA